UGCAAGUCGAGCGGGAUUCAUGAGGACGAAACUUCGGUCUAGAAAUCAUGAUGAGAGCGGCGGACGGGUGAGUAACGCGUAGGCAACCUGCCCUUAGCACAGGGAUAGCCUCGGGAAACCGGGAUUAAAACCUGAUAAUGCCAAACAGUCACAUGGCUGUUUGGCCAAAGAUUUAUCGGCUGAGGAUGGGCCUGCGUCUGAUUAGUUAGUUGGUGGGGUAACGGCCUACCAAGACGACGAUCAGUAGCCGACCUGAGAGGGUGAUCGGCCACAUUGGAACUGAGACACGGUCCAAACUCCUACGGGAGGCAGCAGUGGGGAAUAUUGCACAAUGGGCGAAAGCCUGAUGCAGCAACGCCGCGUGAGCGAUGAAGGCCUUUGGGUCGUAAAGCUCUGUCCUAGGGGACGAACACAAUGACGGUACCCUUGGAGGAAGCCCCGGCUAACUACGUGCCAGCAGCCGCGGUAAUACGUAGGGGGCGAGCGUUAUCCGGAAUUAUUGGGCGUAGAGAGUACGUAGGUGGUCUUUUAAGCGCAGGGUUUAAGGCAAUGGCUUAACCAUUGUUCGCCCUGUGAACUGGGAGACUUGAGUGCAGGAGAGGAAAGCGGAAUUCCUAGUGUAGCGGUGAAAUGCGUAGAUAUUAGGAGGAACACCAGUGGCGAAGGCGGCCUUCUGGACUGUAACUGACACUGAGGUACG
Molecule: ribosomal RNA, 700 nt
Filed under: uncultured bacterium
Lineage: Bacteria
Description: bacterial SSU rRNA
Rfam family: Bacterial small subunit ribosomal RNA
Source: RNAcentral